AAUCCGCCAUCCUUUCGCCUUGCAGCUUCGACUUCCUCCGUCCCUCGUCCUCCCGCCUCGAUAUACAGUGAGCGUUUUGCCUGUUCCACCCCCUAUCUCUUGCGCUUCGACCCCGCAUCACGCACGUAGGCACGUCUCCGUCAUUGUGCUUAUACCCGCCAGCUCACGCCCAUACACACGUGCGCGCGUGCAUCCAUCGACAUUGAUCUAGAAUACGCCGCGGAGCCGAAUAUCUCUUUUUCUUUGGUUCUUCUGCGGCUCAUCACUUCUCGCUUCUCUCCACGUCGUGCCGCGCACGAAGCUUUCUCCUUCGUUUCGCUGGGAGCGAGCGCACCGUGCACCGUACGCGCCAAGCUGUGUACACUCGCACGAACGCCAGCAGCCAGUCCCUUGUAGGUGACGCAAGCGCGAAGGGCAAUAAGAAUAACCUAACGAAAAGGGCCCCGCCGUGAGUGACGAGGAACGUUGUCUGCCUGCCGCUGUGAGCGUUGAAGACGUACACCUGCGUAGGGAAGUGCCUUGAGUACUGUUAAUUAGCUGUAAGGCACCGCAAACCCUCGUCGGGUAUGGUAUCACGCAUAUUCUGUAGGUCUGCAUGUGCGAUUUCCGGCUGUCUCUCCCUCUGUCUCUGAGCGUGAGUUCCGUAAACUCGUUCUUGGCUGGCAUCGACCAUUCCUGAAAAGGGAAGUGCGCGCGAGGGUGCGCAUGCAAGUGUCUGUCCGCUAGAACGUAUGUACAUGCGUGACCUUGUCGACCGGCUUAGAUUGUUGUCGCUGUUGCUGUUUGCUUGGUGAUAUGUGAACACCGUGCCAUCGGCGAAGACAGAAAAGGGCACGGCAGCAUAACCGCGCUCCCAGGAAAGCAACGCAGACUUGUACGCGCGCACGCAGCGAUUAAGGAGUUUAUUACUGAGCGACACACACACACACACACACACACAUAUAGUUGCGAAUGCACUGUCCCCCUUCGUUAUUUCUUCGCUCUCUUUCUUCAUCGUCCGCGCUCGCGCACACAGACGCCCUGCAUCGUUGAUUGUGCUUGCCUGCAGCAGCUCACGCCGCACCCCUCCUUCUUCACUUGUUUUUUUUUCCUGUUGUUGCAUCUGCCUUGGGGCUAGCAGAGCCGCACCGGUGUAAGCCACCUUUUCUUGGCCUGUGUGGGUGUGUGCUGAACGAGUGUGCUCUUGCGUUGUGCGCGUUGCCAUCCGGACACUUCUCGUCGUCGUUGCCCGCUGCAUUCCAGUGCGCUUGCCUGCGCGCACACAAACGUUUUUUUCUGUGUCGCUCCCUUCGUACGCCGCUCGCUCUGUGUGUGUCUCUUCACAUCACCACUUCGUCUCUCUCUGUCUGUGUGGUGUUCGUUAACAUCCCCGUAGCGCCCCUCUUUUCUGCUGCUCUCGUGUGCUCGUUGCACCGGUGUGCGUGUGGUGGAUAGAGUCGCGUCGAGGAAACAGGUCUUUGGCUUGUGAGCGAGCGUGUUGUACCAGCGAAGGACGCCAUCAUCGCGCGUGCUUUCGUGGACGAGAGAGCGGGACGGCUCAUUCACUUCGAAGAAACAACAAAAAAAAACAGAGAACGGGACCUUGUGAGGCGCUCCUGCCCCGCUGCGCAUCCUCUUCCACUUCGGCGUCGUCCUUUUCCAUCUCAGCUUCAGGGUCUGAUCCCCUUCCCUGUCGCACACACACGCCCCGGAAGACGUUACAGCCAUGGAGGUGAACGCUACGCUGAUCGACUGCUGCGACCCGCAGAGGCCGUCGAGGGUGCUCUUUCACUUUCUCAUCCUCGACGCGCCGUCCCCAAGCAACCUCCCGACAUACAUCAAGGAGCUGCAGCACCGCGGCGUGCGGCACUUGGUGCGGGUAUGCGGCCCGACCUACGACGCCACCCUCGUCAAGAGCAGGGGCAUUGAGGUCCACAGCUGGCCAUUCGACGACGGCGCGCCGCCGACGCGCGCGGUCCUUGACAGCUGGCUGAAGCUGCUCGACACGGAGCUUGCGCGUCAGCAGGAGGACCCAUCCGUGCCCCCGCCGACCAUCGGCGUGCACUGCGUGGCGGGCCUGGGCCGCGCACCAAUCUUGGUGGCGCUGGCGCUGGUGGAGUACGGCAACGUAUCUGCACUAGACGCCAUCGCACUGAUCCGCGAGAAGCGCAGGGGUGCCAUCAAUCAGACACAGAUGCACUGGAUCACCAAGUACAAGCGUCGUCACCAGGGUGGGGGCUGCGUGAUCAUGUAGGCGCGAGCACGAAGGAGGGGGCGUACGGGAGCCAUGCCACUUCCACACACGCACAUACACACCUACCCGCAUAACGGCAUAAGGAGCCGCAUAAGAGGCGUAGGUUGGCGUGCGGUCGUGUCUGAUGGUCUCACCCAAAGCCAGAGCUUGUCUGUGCUCGGCGUCUGGCCCCCUCCCUCGUGCCUGUGCGGCGUAUGUGCUUCACCUUUCCUUAGUUGAUCUUCGUUUUUCGUUUUUCUUUUAUGCUUUGGAGUGUGCGCGCGCGCGUGUGUGUGCCUUCCCCUCCCCUCCCUCCUUUUUCUCUCUGGCUCGUGUGUGCGUGAAUGUGUGAGCGAGCACUGGGUUAUGAUGAUGAUGGCGAUGUGUGUGUGUGUGUGUGCUGUCCAUCAUGUGCAAGAGGGCCUCCAUCCCCCUCCCAUCACCGUUGUGGUGCCACAUCAUCGCCGGUGCGCCCUCGCACCCCCCGUCCUUUCCUUCGUCACGUUGGCUCGUUUUUGUUCCGUCUUCGUUUUUUUUUUUGUUGUUGUUUCUAUUAUAAGUGUUUCUUUUUGCCUGGCUCGCUUCCCGUUCGCUCUGUCCACCCGCGACCCGCACCGUAAAAACUCCGCCGUCUGCGCACAGACCAAGUCCCGUCCUUGAACACAGCGAAAGGGAAGCGGAAAUAAAAGAAUGCGGCAAUAUUUCGUUGCUCAUGAGAUCUCGAGAGCGAGCGAGCGAGAGAGGGGGUGAGAGGGGUGCUGCACAGAGUCGGAUACGCAACGGCGUUUUCAGCGACGCACUUGUGCCACAUACCGAGAGAGCAGGAGGUGACACAGGAGCGGCGCUCUUGCCGGCAAUGUUUCAGCAGCAAGGUGAGAGCAGCCGGUGCCUAGUUCACUUGCCUUCCCCCGGCGCUGCGCUCUUCGUCUUUCUUCGUUGUCUCUCGCCGUGCUUG
Molecule: unclassified non-coding RNA, 3167 nt
Filed under: Leishmania donovani
Lineage: Eukaryota; Euglenozoa; Kinetoplastea; Trypanosomatida; Trypanosomatidae
Description: gene:LdHU3.16.0290(CDS-product:protein_tyrosine_p hosphatase-like_protein)
Source: RNAcentral